CUUACCCGUCCCUAUUUCCCUCAUGGUGAGAGACGAUAUUCAAAGUGGUUGACACUAGCACAGCACAGGCAGCAGCCAGUCCAGUGGACACGUGGCCACACUGGCGCACACGGAGGGUAUUCGCUCUGCACCCGGAAAACACCCAAUACACAAUGGUCGAAUUGAAUUUCACUGGCUUAGUACUGCUGGCUGUGGCAUCUGAUGAACUUCUUUCAGAAUUCAGAUGGAAUAACAGUGAGCAAAUUUAUCCUCCCACCUGAAACAACUAAAAACCUGGACAAAUAUAUUUUUUAAAAUAACUGUUUUCAACAUAAUGGACAUCAGGCCGCAAAGAACAAUGAUAUGAUUCCUGAGAGAUGGAAGACAAAUGAGAGUCAGGAUCUCGCU
Long non-coding RNA from Lemur catta (Ring-tailed lemur), 387 nucleotides. RefSeq lists it as uncharacterized. NCBI's taxonomy places the organism in Eukaryota, Metazoa, Chordata, Mammalia, Primates, Lemuridae. The record is from RefSeq and is a predicted model, not a curated record. The transcript has 3 exons.